RNAcentral lists this ribosomal RNA (253 nucleotides) under uncultured bacterium. RNAcentral's name for it is "partial 16S ribosomal RNA". It matches the Rfam family "Bacterial small subunit ribosomal RNA", at positions 524 to 776 of the family's 1533-position model. The record is from RNAcentral.
UACAGAGGUCCCAAGCGUUGUUCGGAUUCACUGGGCGUAAAGGGUGCGUAGGCGGUCGGGUAAGUCUGAUGUGAAAUCUCACAGCUUAACUGUGAAACUGCAUUGGAUACUAUUCGGCUAGAGAGUUGGAGGGGGGACUGGAAUUCUUGGUGUAGCAGUGAAGUGCGUAGAUAUCAAGAGGAACACCAGUGGCGAAGGCGAGUCCCUGGACAACUUCUGACGCUGAGGCACGAAAGCUAGGGGAGCAAACAGG